Cyprinus carpio carpio is the source of this 506-nucleotide long non-coding RNA. The record is from Ensembl. Lineage: Eukaryota; Metazoa; Chordata; Actinopteri; Cypriniformes; Cyprinidae.
GUGCCACCGCGCGCACAGCCUGACUCCCCUUUGAGCCACAUCCCCAGCAGUGCGUUUUCCUGAGUGUUGAUUGCCGUCUGAUUGUUCAGCUACAUAUACCCCAAAGGCUCUUUUAAGAGCCACAUAACGAGAGCGUCUUUGGCUUUUGGCACCUACAUACAACCCAAAGGCUCUUUUCAGAGCCACAUCGCCCAGCGUCCUUGGCUUUCAACUACAUACACCCCAAAAGCUCUUUUCAGAGCUACUCGCCCACCAUCACCCAGCAUUCAAGGCACAUCUAUCCUCAGUCAUCAGCGGGCCACCAUGAGAGUUUUUCCAGUGACACCAACUCCUGGUCCAUCCAAACCGACAAUCCCAAAUUUCAUGAGGAAUCCAUAAACGACAAUCAAGAAGUUCUUGGAAGUGCUUAGAAGGGGGAAAAAGUAAACAUUAACUUUCUUGAGAACUAGAAAUAUACAUUUACUGAUAGAACUUCACAUGUCAACAAAAACUGUCAAUAGGACCAC